GCGGGGGUUGCCCAGCUAGGUCAAAGGCGCCGGACUUAAGAUCCGGUAUCGAAGGAUUUCGAGGGUUCGAAUCCCUCCCCCCGCA
Molecule: transfer RNA, 85 nt
Filed under: Methanolobus profundi
Lineage: Archaea; Methanobacteriati; Methanobacteriota; Methanomicrobia; Methanosarcinales; Methanosarcinaceae
Description: tRNA_Leu_TAA
Rfam family: tRNA
About the family: Transfer RNA (tRNA) molecules are approximately 80 nucleotides in length. Their secondary structure includes four short double-helical elements and three loops (D, anti-codon, and T loops). Further hydrogen bonds mediate the characteristic L-shaped molecular structure. tRNAs have two regions of fundamental functional importance: the anti-codon, which is responsible for specific mRNA codon recognition, and the 3' end, to which the tRNAs corresponding amino acid is attached (by aminoacyl-tRNA synthetases). tRNAs cope with the degeneracy of the genetic code in two manners: having more than one tRNA (with a specific anti-codon) for a particular amino acid; and 'wobble' base-pairing, i.e. permitting non-standard base-pairing at the 3rd anti-codon position.
Source: RNAcentral